CAUGUCCUUUUGUUAUUUAUUUAAGGUUUAACCUGCCCAAUGAUUUUAAUUAAAUGGCCGCGGUAUUUUGGCCGUGCAAAGGUAGCAUAAUCAUUAGUUUUUUAAUUGAAAGCUUGUAUGAAGGGUUGAAUGGGAAAAUUACUGUUUUUAAAAUAUUUAAUUAGAAUUUUUUUUUUAAGUUAAAAAGCUUAAAUUUGAUUUAUAGACGAGAAGACCCUUUAGAGUUUCAUAAAUUUAUAUAUAAAAUUUUUUAGUAAUAAUUUGAUUUUAUAUAUUUUUUUAUUUAAUUGGGGGGAUUGAAAAAUUUAAAAAACUUUUUUUUUUAUUUUACAUUUAUAUAUGAAUAAUUGAUCCAUUUUUUAUGAUUAUAAGAUUAAAUUACCUAAGGGAUAACAGCGUUAUUUUUUUUGAGAGUUCAAAUCGAAAAAAAAGUUUGCGACCUCGAUGUUGGAUUAAAAUUAAAUUAUGGUGUAGAGGCUAUAAUCGCA
This 488-nucleotide ribosomal RNA is filed under the name Thymogethes nitidicollis. RNAcentral's name for it is "partial 16S ribosomal RNA". The record is from RNAcentral. Lineage: Eukaryota; Metazoa; Arthropoda; Insecta; Coleoptera; Nitidulidae.